UGAAUAGCACUCGGCCCAUAC
RNAcentral lists this non-coding RNA (21 nucleotides) under Arabidopsis thaliana (thale cress). The record is from RNAcentral. Lineage: Eukaryota; Viridiplantae; Streptophyta; Magnoliopsida; Brassicales; Brassicaceae.